AGACGUGUAGCUCAGUUGGUUAGAGUAUCUCGGUGACAUCGAGAGGGUCGGUGGUUCGAAUCCACUCACGUCUACCA
RNAcentral lists this transfer RNA (77 nucleotides) under Gammaproteobacteria bacterium. Its description in RNAcentral is "tRNA-Val". It matches the Rfam family "tRNA". From Rfam's summary of the family: Transfer RNA (tRNA) molecules are approximately 80 nucleotides in length. The record is from RNAcentral. Lineage: Bacteria; Pseudomonadati; Pseudomonadota; Gammaproteobacteria. RNAcentral also lists the same sequence under 3 other names.